Molecule: long non-coding RNA, 311 nt
Organism: Hippocampus comes (tiger tail seahorse)
Lineage: Eukaryota; Metazoa; Chordata; Actinopteri; Syngnathiformes; Syngnathidae
Exons: 2
Source: RefSeq, a predicted model, not a curated record
GAAACAUGAUCCACACUGUAUCUACCCCGGUCAAGGAUGACGCCUUGUACUGAUCACAAAAUGACAUACCGUGUGCACCUUGGUAAACCGAAAGUAGAUAAAAUUAAAUAACGUUGACCACACGGUAUCUCUCUCUCUCUCUCUCUCUCUCUCUCUCUCUCUCUCUCUCUCUCUCUCUCUCUCUCUCUUUCUCUCUAAAUUGUCUUCUCGAUCUUUUCAAUUCCUCGCUAUCCACGGCACGUGACCUGGAAGUGAUUCUUAACAAAUAUCCCAUAUCACACAUCAAGAGGAUUUAAAGAAAAAACAAAUAU